This 72-nucleotide transfer RNA is filed under the name Camelus bactrianus (Bactrian camel). It matches the Rfam family "tRNA". From Rfam's summary of the family: Transfer RNA (tRNA) molecules are approximately 80 nucleotides in length. Their secondary structure includes four short double-helical elements and three loops (D, anti-codon, and T loops). RNAcentral also lists the same sequence under 1 other name. The record is from Rfam by way of RNAcentral. Lineage: Eukaryota; Metazoa; Chordata; Mammalia; Artiodactyla; Camelidae.
GCGGGUGUCGCUCAGUGGCAGAGCACAUGCCUAGCAUGCAUGAGGUCCUGGGUUCAACCCCCAGCACCUCUG